This 623-nucleotide ribosomal RNA is filed under the name uncultured Sebacinales. Its description in RNAcentral is "eukaryotic LSU rRNA". It matches the Rfam family "Eukaryotic large subunit ribosomal RNA", at positions 52 to 655 of the family's 3401-position model. The record is from RNAcentral. Lineage: Eukaryota; Fungi; Basidiomycota; Agaricomycetes; Sebacinales.
GGAGGAAAAGAAACUAACAAGGAUUCCCCUAGUAACGGCGAGUGAAGAGGGAAAAGCUCAAAUUUUGAAUCUGGUGUCUUUGACUCCCGAGUUGUAAUCUAGAGAAGUGUUUUCCGUGUCGGACCGUGCACAAGUUCCCUGGAACGGGGCGUCAUAGAGGGUGAGAAUCCCGUAUAUGGCAUGGACUGCCGAUGCUUUUGUGAUACACUCUCAACGAGUCGAGUUGUUUGGGAAUGCAGCUCAAAAUGGGUGGUAAAUUCCAUCUAAAGCUAAAUAUUGGCGAGAGACCGAUAGCGAACAAGUACCGUGAGGGAAAGAUGAAAAGCACUUUGGAAAGAGAGUGAAACAGUACGUGAAAUUGUUGAAAGGGAAGCGUUUGAAGUCAGUCGUAUCUGGUGGGAUUCAGCCGGGCUUUUGCCAGGUGUACUUCUCGUCCGAUGGGUCAGCAUCAAUUUCGACCGGGGGAAAAAGAUGUGUGGAAUGUGGCUGUCUUCGGGCAGUGUUAUAGCCAUGUGUUGUAUGCCUCGGUUGGGAUUGAGGAACGCAGCGCGCCUUAAGGCCAGGGGUUCGCCUCUUGACACGCGCUUAGGAUGCUGGCAUAAUGGCUUUAAGCGACCCGUCUG